RNAcentral lists this ribosomal RNA (439 nucleotides) under uncultured bacterium. Its description in RNAcentral is "partial 16S ribosomal RNA". It matches the Rfam family "Bacterial small subunit ribosomal RNA", at positions 339 to 795 of the family's 1533-position model. The record is from RNAcentral.
CUACGGGGCGCACCAGUGGGGAAUAUUGCACAAUGGACGAAAGUCUGAUGCAGCAACGCCGCGUGGAGGAUGACACUUUUCGGAGCGUAAACUCCUUUUAUAUAGGAAGAUAAUGACGGUACUAUAUGAAUAAGCACCGGCUAACUCCGUGCCAGCAGCCGCGGUAAUACGGAGGGUGCAAGCGUUACUCGGAAUCACUGGGCGUAAAGAGCGUGUAGGCGGGUUAAUAAGUCAGAAGUGAAAUCCAAUGGCUCAACCAUUGAACUGCUUUUGAAACUGUUAACCUAGAAUAUGGGAGAGGUAGAUGGAAUUUCUGGUGUAGGGGUAAAAUCCGUAGAGAUCAGAAGGAAUACCGAUUGCGAAGGCGAUCUACUGGAACAUUAUUGACGCUGAGACGCGAAAGCGUGGGGAGCAAACAGGAUUAGAUACCCGAGUAGUC